RNAcentral lists this ribosomal RNA (478 nucleotides) under uncultured bacterium. RNAcentral's name for it is "partial 16S ribosomal RNA". It matches the Rfam family "Bacterial small subunit ribosomal RNA", at positions 28 to 523 of the family's 1533-position model. The record is from RNAcentral.
GACGAACGCUGGCGGCGUGCUUAACACAUGCAAGUCGAACGGUAAGGCCCUUCGGGGUACACGAGUGGCGAACGGGUGAGAAACACGUGGGUGAUCUGCCCUGCACUUCGGGAUAAGCCUGGGAAACUGGGUCUAAUACCGGAUAGGACCACUGCCUGCAUGGGUGGUGGUGGAAAGCUUUUGCGGUGUGGGAUGGGCCCGCGGCCUAUCAGCUUGUUGGUGGGGUGAUGGCCUACCAAGGCGACGUCGGGUAGCCGGCCUGAGAGGGUGACCGGCCACACUGGGACUGAGAUACGGCCCAGACUCCUACGGGAGGCAGCAGUGGGGAAUAUUGCACAAUGGGCGCAAGCCUGAUGCAGCGACGCCGCGUGAGGGAUGACGGCCUUCGGGUUGUAAACCUCUUUCAGCACCGACGAAGCGCAAGUGACGGUAGGUGCAGAAGAAGGACCGGCCAACUACGUGCCAGCAGCCGCAGUAA